AUUCCAGCUCCAAUAGCGUAUAUUAAAGUUGUUGCAGUUAAAAAGCUCGUAGUUGGAUUUCUGGUUUGAUGCCCUGGCCCGCUUCAAAUUUUGGAGUGUGUGCCGGCUGUGCGUCUGCCAUCCUUCUAGAAAACGUUCGUACCCUUCACUGGGCCGCGUUCGAGAUCUAGAUCUUUUACUUUGAAAAAAUUAGAGUGUUUAAAGCAGGCAGUUGCUAUGAAUACAUUAGCAUGGAAUAAUAAUCUAGGACUUCGGUUCUAUUUUGUUGGUUUCUAGGGCCGAAGUAAUGAUUAAUAGGGACAGUUGGGGGCAUUCAUAUUCCAUUGUCAGAGGUGAAAUUCUUGGAUUAACGGAAGAUGAACUUCUGCGAAAGCAUCUGCCAAGGAUGUUUUCAUCA
RNAcentral lists this ribosomal RNA (397 nucleotides) under Botuliformidae sp. RNAcentral describes it as "partial small subunit ribosomal RNA". It matches the Rfam family "Eukaryotic small subunit ribosomal RNA", at positions 582 to 975 of the family's 1831-position model. The record is from RNAcentral. Lineage: Eukaryota; Cercozoa; Thecofilosea.